UACGUAGGGGCCGAGCGUUGUCCGGAGUUACUGGGCGUAAAGCGCACGCAGGCGGCGGCGUUGGCCCGGCGUGAAAGCCCCCGGCUCAACCGGGGAAGGUCGUCGGGGACCGCGUCGCUUGAGGCCAGCAGGGGGUGGUGGAAUGCCCGGUGUAGUGGUGAAAUGCGUAGAGAUCGGGCGGAACACCCGUGGCGAAGGCGGCCACCUGGGCUGGACCUGACGCUGAGGUGCGAAGGCGUGGGGAGCGAACGGGAUUAGAUACCCGCGUAGUCC
This 273-nucleotide ribosomal RNA is filed under the name uncultured bacterium. RNAcentral's name for it is "partial 16S ribosomal RNA". It matches the Rfam family "Bacterial small subunit ribosomal RNA", at positions 524 to 796 of the family's 1533-position model. The record is from RNAcentral.